Molecule: non-coding RNA, 31 nt
Filed under: Rattus norvegicus (Norway rat)
Lineage: Eukaryota; Metazoa; Chordata; Mammalia; Rodentia; Muridae
Source: RNAcentral
UAAACCUUAAGAUAUAUAUUGUCUGAAAUUC